Molecule: ribosomal RNA, 253 nt
Filed under: uncultured prokaryote
Description: partial 16S ribosomal RNA
Rfam family: Bacterial small subunit ribosomal RNA
Source: RNAcentral
ACGAAGGGGGCUAGCGUUGUUCGGAAUCACUGGGCGUAAAGCGCACGUAGGCGGAUGUGCCAGUCAGUGGUGAAAGCCCGGAGCUCAACUCCGGAAAUGCCAUUGAAACUGUAAGACUUGAGGAUGAGAUAGGUGAGUGGAAUUCCCAGUGUAGAGGUGAAAUUCGUAGAUAUUGGGAAGAACACCGGUGGCGAAGGCGGCUCACUGGCUCAUAUCUGACGCUCAGGCGCGACAGCGUGGGGAUCAAACAGGA